CCACCCUUGUAUGUUUGAUGUUCUAACUUAGCCCCGUUAUCCGGGGUGAGGACAGUGCCUGGUGGGUAGUUUGACUGGGGCGGUCUCCUCCCAAAGAGUAACGGAGGAGCACGAAGGUGGGCUAAUCACGGUUGGACAUCGUGAGGUUAGUGCAAUGGCAUAAGCCCGCUUAACUGCGAGAAUGACGGUUCGAGCAGGUGCGAAAGCAGGUCAUAGUGAUCCGGUGGUUCUGUAUGGAAGGGCCAUCGCUCAACGGAUAAAAGGUACUCCGGGGAUAACAGGCUGAUACCGCCCAAGAGUUCAUAUCGACGGCGGUGUUUGGCACCUCGAUGUCGGCUCAUCACAUCCUGGGGCUGAAGUCGGUCCCAAGGGUAUGGCUGUUCGCCAUUUAAAGUGGUACGCGAGCUGGGUUUAGAACGUCGUGAGACAGUUCGGUCCCUAUCUGCCGUGGGCGUUGGAAGAUUGAAGGGGGCUGCUCCUAGUACGAGAGGACCGGAGUGGACGAACCUCUGGUGUUCGGGUUGUGUCGCCAGACGCAUUGCCCGGUAGCUAAGUUCGGAAUCGAUAACCGCUGAAAGCAUCUAAGCGGGAAGCGAGCCCUGAGAUGAGUCUUCCCUGACAGUUUA
Molecule: ribosomal RNA, 626 nt
Filed under: Vibrio fluvialis
Lineage: Bacteria; Pseudomonadati; Pseudomonadota; Gammaproteobacteria; Vibrionales; Vibrionaceae
Description: partial 23S ribosomal RNA
Rfam family: Bacterial large subunit ribosomal RNA
Source: RNAcentral